Molecule: long non-coding RNA, 207 nt
Filed under: Lupinus angustifolius (narrow-leaved blue lupine)
Lineage: Eukaryota; Viridiplantae; Streptophyta; Magnoliopsida; Fabales; Fabaceae
Description: long non-coding RNA (LANG_LNC003665)
Source: RNAcentral
GCCCGCUUGAUCAUUACAACAUCACCUUGAAGGAGUUUUGAGAUCCGUGGUCCAAUGGAAAAUAUACGAGAUUAACAAUACAAUAAUGAAACGAGACUACUUGAACAAUGAUCAAUUAAUAAGAUAAAGUAAAAGGGUAAGCAAAAUAUAGAACUAUAUCGAAUAAGCAAAACAUAUAAAGGUCAUUGUCUCGAAGGAAAAACUCCC